AGAACGAACGCUGGCGGCAGGCUUAACACAUGCAAGUCGAGCGCCCCGCAAGGGGAGCGGCAGACGGGUGAGUAACGCGUGGGAACAUACCCUCCGGUUCGGAAUAGCUCAGGGAAACUUGGAUUAAUACCGGAUACGGCCUAGCGGCGAAAGAUUGAUCGCCGGAGGAUUGGCCCGCGUCUGAUUAGCUAGUUGGUGGGGUAAUGGCCCACCAAGGCGACGAUCAGUAGCUGGUCUGAGAGGAUGAUCAGCCACAUUGGGACUGAGACACGGCCCAAACUCCUACGGGAGGCAGCAGUGGGGAAUAUGGACAAUGGGCGCAAGCCUGAUCCAGCCAUGCCGCGUGAGUGAUGACGGCCUUAGGGUUGUAAAGCUCUUUCGCUAGGGACGAUAAUGACGGUACCUAGACAAGAAGCCCCGGCUAACUUCGCGCCAGCAGCCGC
This 443-nucleotide ribosomal RNA is filed under the name uncultured bacterium. RNAcentral's name for it is "SSU rRNA". It matches the Rfam family "Bacterial small subunit ribosomal RNA", at positions 26 to 518 of the family's 1533-position model. The record is from RNAcentral.